AUUCACCCGGCCGGGGCCUGCUCCCCGCCCCCUCCUCAGCCUGCCCAGCUCGGGGCCCAGGGCUCCGUGGGGGAAGGGGGUCGUGGCUGCUUUAAAGCACGUGUUCCGAGCCGCGGUGAACCCCAGUGCCCACCCAUAGGAGCAAAAGGGAAGCGCCUAGAAGAGCCAAGUGCACUUGGAAAAGUGGAGAAAUAAACCAAAUAGCAGCCGGCACCCAGAAUUAGGUCAGGCCCAGGGGAAGGGAGGUUCAGGUGUCGGGAAUCGUGGAGGCAAACAACCCAACCGGGAGAAAGUUACCUGUUAAAUUAGGGGAAAGAAACGGACCUGGGCAGCAGACAGCGGGAAGACUAAGAAAUGGCACUCGUGAACCAGAGGUUUAUGCAAAAAUGCCCUACACCCACCCAGCAAAAUAUGUGCAAAGAAACGACUCCCUGAAAGGGUCUUGGGGAUCCCCCUCCCAGGCUUCCUCAGAUUACACUUUGAGAACCACUGGUCUGCACCUGUCUUGGUACUGUGUCCCCCUUGUCAAUGACUGGUUUAGGAGCUGAGCUUGUAACCUAAUACUGGGAGCAAGACAUGUUUGGAGCUGUGGUGGCACAUCCUGCAUCAAUGAGAGGAAAGCGGGAAAAGCAAUACGGGAAAGGCAAUCCGGAACCCAGACGUCACUGAAUGGCUAAAUUACCCUACCCUGGCUUUGCAUACCUCCAGACUGCUCAGGCAAAGUUCUUUUCCUGCGUUCUCAGUGAAGAAGAAAUCUGGAGGCUUGGUUCCUGAUGGAUUUUAUUUCCUGCUUUGUAAACCUCUGUCGACGUCAUCAAAUAAUUGCUCGAAUUGAAAUAUAGUGGAAAAGAAUCCUCUAUAUAUUGGGUAAACACCCACAUAAAAUUUCAGAUUUGAAAAACUUUGAUGUCAGUUAAAAUAUGGUAUUGAUUUAAAGUUACAGCUUAAGGCUGAAAAUCAUAUGUGAAUCUGCCUGUCCCUUUAAAAAGAAAAGCGAUUAUGUUCUGGUUGCUGAGCUCUCUUGGAUUUAUUUUAUCUUAGCAGCUGUUCCUGAAGUCGAUGUUAUUCAAAUGAGGGUUUUCAAGCUCUUUGUUGUGUUCUUCAACUUAUGGUAUAUGCUAUCAAACGUAAAACCCAAAUUUAGAAUGCGGUGGGGGUGGGGACAAUUAGAAAUACCGAGAAAUAAAAUAAUAUUGGAAAAAACCCUUUAGUUUUCAUUUAACGAAGAUAAAACUGUUAAACAUGAUCUUCCUGAAGCCCCAGUAACAGAAGCAAGACAAAACCCUGGAACCUCCAAGCACCAAAAGUUGGAUGAUAUAUUUAGUAAUAAGUGCAUGUGUAGGGCGGAGGGGAGGUGUCCCAGAUGGAAAUAAUGGAACUUCCUGUGGUUAUAGAAGAUGAGGAAAGAACACACCAAAUACUUUUCUUGCCACUCUGGAAAGAAGCAUAUUAUAAAUUUUGCGUAACAUAGGCUACCGUUUGAUCUAGAAAGAAUAACUUUACAACUCAUACACCUUCUACUUCCUUUAUUUUCAUUUCACUUGUUUUCCAAGAGGCAGCAUAGCACAAUUGUUAAGAUUGCAAACCCUGGGCAAGAAUAUUGGCUCUGCCACAUAUCGGCUGUGGAAACUUGUACUUUUCCUUUAAUUGACACAGUAAACCAGUUUGCUUCAGUAAUAGCAAAGUAUAUAUCAAACUUUAAUUUAGUUAGGAGUUAUCAUCCUCAUUUUCAUGUCAUAUAUAAUCAUUUCCUAGUAUUGAUGUUAAUCAUUUAUUGAGUGAUUACUACUUGUCGAGUGCUGUUCGAAGUGCUUUACAUAUUAAUUCAUUUAAUCCUCACAGCAACCCUAGGAGGGAGGUAUCAUUAUUGCCUAUAUUUCCAGAUUAGGAAUUAAGCAGGGAGAGGUUAAAUAAUUUGCCUAUUGUUUAACCUAGAGGUUAAGUAAUUUACACACAGCCAGUAAAUUUCAGAGCUGAGGUUUACAGAGCUCUUCUCUUAACCACCCUGUCAUUACCAAUCUGUUUAAGACUGCCUUAAUCUCUGUGGCUCUCCAAUCAUUUUUGUUCAAACACUUGCUGAUUAGUGAAUAGAAAUCUUCAAACUAGGAUAACCACCUCUGCCCAUGUACGUGAAAACUCUCCAAGUGGAGCAGAGGAUGGAUAGCUUUAAGAGCAUCAAUUCCACAUCCUCCACUUUCAUUUCCACACUUUCCUAAAACUUCUCUGCCUGGAACAUGCUUGUGGGCUCUUUUCCACCCCCUUUUCACAACUGCCAUUUUUCCACUUAACAAAAGAAAGUCAUUCUCACAGAUGCCACAUCUUACUAUGGCGCAUUGACCCUAGGUGCACAAAACAGAAAAUUAGAAGCCUGUGUUAGUGUUGAGAAAGAGAAUAACUAUGAUGACUGGGAACAAAGCUGUCACUUGAUAGAGCCUUAAAAAUAAUUUAAAUGACAGAUCAUCACAUGAUUUUAUCAUCACAUGAUAAUUAAAAGUUCAAGGAAUUGAGUAACCACUACAACCAGUUCCUCACAUUCCCAUCUACUUAUUUCUGUGAACAAAGUACUCAGCAUUUAUAUCUACAAGAACAGUGUCAAAUGCAUGAAUAGAAUCGAGGCGGAACUCAGUCUCAUUCUAGCUAUAAAUAAUAUUCAUCCACAAAUCCACUGGACAAGAAAAAGCCCCUUCCAUUUCUUUAAAAGAUGCAUUUUCAAUAAAAUCUUAUUUUUUAUGUUUAAAAAUAGUUAUCAAUUUGUAAUAUAGCCACUGUUUGAUCAAUUGUGUACUACUAAUCAUUUUAGUGAUAACUCCACUCAGAGACAUUUUUAACACCUAGAAGCUUAUAGUCACAGGAAAGUAAAAUUAUGUAAAUAUGUAGUUAUAAUGUCUGUUGUAAAGAAUGAUGUAAUGAUCAAUAAAAAUUUU
Diceros bicornis minor is the source of this 2924-nucleotide long non-coding RNA. RefSeq lists it as uncharacterized. Lineage: Eukaryota; Metazoa; Chordata; Mammalia; Perissodactyla; Rhinocerotidae. The record is from RefSeq and is a predicted model, not a curated record. The transcript is spliced from 4 exons.